UACGUAGGGUGCGAGCGUUGCCCGGAUUUAUUGGGCGUAAAGGGUGCGUAGGCGGGUCUUUAAGUCAGGGGUGAAAUCCUGGAGCUCAACUCCAGAACUGCCUUUGAUACUGAAGAUCUUGAGUUCGGGAGAGGUGAGUGGAACUGCGAGUGUAGAGGUGAAAUACGUAGAGAUUGGGAAGAACACCAGUGGCGAAGGCGGCUAUCUGGACGGUUUCUGACGCUAAGACGCGAAAGCGUGGGGAGCAAACAGG
RNAcentral lists this ribosomal RNA (253 nucleotides) under uncultured bacterium. RNAcentral's name for it is "partial 16S ribosomal RNA". It matches the Rfam family "Bacterial small subunit ribosomal RNA", at positions 524 to 776 of the family's 1533-position model. The record is from RNAcentral.